Molecule: long non-coding RNA, 716 nt
Organism: Podarcis muralis (Common wall lizard)
Lineage: Eukaryota; Metazoa; Chordata; Lepidosauria; Squamata; Lacertidae
Source: RefSeq, a predicted model, not a curated record
CUCUUUCAGCAGCAAGGGCGGGGGGGACCCUCUUGCCCCACCUUACGACAGCACCCCCUGCUGGGACCGGAAUACCUCGAAGCAUUUUCACAAGUCUCUGGAACUCGCACCGGCUGCAAUAACCUCUUUUGGAUUCACACUGCCCUUCUUAACAGCAAAUUGUGCUGAAUAUUGAUACCUGCACUGUUUCUGGCAAUUAUUUAUUUAUUGCACAGCCCCAGCCCCACGGAGACUAGAUGUCCAGUUGCAAAGGAAAAAUUGCAGGUCCUAUGUCAAGCAGAUUUCCAAGCCUAUCAAAUCUAUUUGGAAAAUGGAAAAAAGAGGAGACUGACACCUUACAACCGUUAGCUGCAAAGCUGUCCUCCUACAAGAAGCCAUCAUCACUGCACCUAUGUUGCUGCUUGGCGAUGGCUAUUGCUGCUGACCUGACCGAACCUCUGAGCCACACACUCUGCUCUCCUCUCUUUAUUUGCACUUUGGAAUCAGAAGCCAUCCUUUGUAUUCUUUCCUUCCUGCAUUCUGAGUUGCCAUUUUUGUUAAAUCUCUACAUUUAUGGACCCACCACCUCCCUGAUCUGGUAUUGCUAUGGAAGCUUGGCUCACAACAGUCCAGUUAUUUAAAAAAAACCUGAGGCCCUAGUAGGGAGGGACAUGAGUGGCAGCAGUCCUGAAAGUUGCACCCAUCUGCUUUCUGAGCAACUGCUUGCAUUUCCAGAG